GACGAACGCUGGCGGCGUGCUUAACACAUGCAAGUCGAACGGAAAGGCCCUGCUUUUGUGGGGUGCUCGAGUGGCGAACGGGUGAGUAACACGUGAGUAACCUGCCCUUGACUUUGGGAUAACUUCAGGAAAAUGGGGCUAAUACCGGAUAGGAGCUCCUGCUGCAUGGUGUGGGUUGGAAAGUUUCGGCGGUUGGGGAUGGACUCGCGGCUUAUCAGCUUGUUGGUGGGGUAGUGGCAUACCAAGGCUUUGACGGGUAGCCGGCCUGGGAGGGUGACCGGCCACAUUGGGACUGAGAUACGGCCCAGACGCCUACGGGAGGCAGCAGUGGGGAAUAUUGCACAAUGGGCGGAAGCCUGAUGCAGCAACGCCGCGUGCGGGAUGACGGCCUUCGGGUUGUAAACCGCUGUCGCCUGUGACGAAGCGUGAGUGACGGUAAUGGGUAAAGAAGCACCGGCUAACUACGUG
This 468-nucleotide ribosomal RNA is filed under the name uncultured bacterium. RNAcentral's name for it is "partial 16S ribosomal RNA". It matches the Rfam family "Bacterial small subunit ribosomal RNA", at positions 28 to 507 of the family's 1533-position model. The record is from RNAcentral.